This 1217-nucleotide ribosomal RNA is filed under the name uncultured beta proteobacterium. Its description in RNAcentral is "bacterial SSU rRNA". It matches the Rfam family "Bacterial small subunit ribosomal RNA", at positions 155 to 1369 of the family's 1533-position model. The record is from RNAcentral. Lineage: Bacteria; Pseudomonadati; Pseudomonadota; Betaproteobacteria.
AAGGAUGGCUAAUACCGCAUACGCCCUGAGGGGGAAAGCGGGGGAUCUAAGGACCUCGCGUUAUUUGAGCGGCCGAUGUUGGAUUAGCUAGUUGGUGGGGUAAAGGCCUACCAAGGCGACGAUCCAUAGCGGGUCUGAGAGGAUGAUCCGCCACAUUGGGACUGAGACACGGCCCAAACUCCUACGGGAGGCAGCAGUGGGGAAUUUUGGACAAUGGGGGGAACCCUGAUCCAGCCAUGCCGCGUGUCUGAAGAAGGCCUUCGGGUUGUAAAGGACUUUUGUUAGGGAAGAAAAGCUGGGUGCUAAUACCACCUAGUGCUGACGGUACCUAAAGAAUAAGCACCGGCUAACUACGUGCCAGCAGCCGCGGUAAUACGUAGGGUGCGAGCGUUAAUCGGAAUUACUGGGCGUAAAGCGAGCGCAGACGGUUAAAUAAGUCAGAUGUGAAAUCCCCGAGCUCAACUUGGGACGUGCAUUUGAAACUGUAUAACUAGAGUGUGUCAGAGGGAGGUAGAAUUCCACGUGUAGCAGUGAAAUGCGUAGAGAUGUGGAGGAAUACCGAUGGCGAAGGCAGCCUCCUGGGAUAACACUGACGUUCAUGCUCGAAAGCGUGGGUAGCAAACAGGAUUAGAUACCCUGGUAGUCCACGCCCUAAACGAUGACAAUUAGCUGUUGGGGUACUAGUUACCUUAGUAGCGAAGCUAACGCGUGAAAUUGUCCGCCUGGGGAGUACGGUCGCAAGAUUAAAACUCAAAGGAAUUGACGGGGACCCGCACAAGCGGUGGAUGAUGUGGAUUAAUUCGAUGCAACGCGAAGAACCUUACCUGGUCUUGACAUGUACGGAAUCUCUUAGAGAUAGGAGAGUGCCUUCGGGAACCGUAACACAGGUGCUGCAUGGCUGUCGUCAGCUCGUGUCGUGAGAUGUUGGGUUAAGUCCCGCAACGAGCGCAACCCUUGUCAUUAGUUGCCAUCAUUAAGUUGGGCACUCUAAUGAGACUGCCGGUGACAAACCGGAGGAAGGUGGGGAUGACGUCAAGUCCUCAUGGCCCUUAUGACCAGGGCUUCACACGUCAUACAAUGGUCGGUACAGAGGGUAGCGAAGCCGCGAGGUGAAGCCAAUCUCAGAAAGCCGAUCGUAGUCCGGAUUGCACUCUGCAACUCGAGUGCAUGAAGUCGGAAUCGCUAGUAAUCGCAGGUCAGCAUACUGCGGUGAAUAC